Molecule: long non-coding RNA, 505 nt
Filed under: Zostera marina
Lineage: Eukaryota; Viridiplantae; Streptophyta; Magnoliopsida; Alismatales; Zosteraceae
Description: long non-coding RNA (ZMAR_LNC000530)
Source: RNAcentral
CAAAUCCAUAUUACACAUUCCUAUAUACAUUAAUUACCAUAAUUAAAUACACCCAACCAACAUAGCCGUUGGGUGUUCUUCUAUAUAAACUUAUCUAAUCCUAGUUUAAGUUUAACACACGAUCACACACACAUCCACACACUCUGUAUUACAAUACAGACUUUGUGUUACUCUGUCUGAUCAACUCUGCAACUGGAAUUGCCAAUCAUCAUAACACAAAGUCUGUAUUGUAAUACAGACUUUGUGUUACUCUGUCUGAUCAACUCUGCAACUGGAAUUGCCAAUCAUCAAACGCUUCCGCAAUACAACAACUUGAAUCACAGAUUCAAGUUCAAUCACAUUCAACUCACUUCAACAAGCUGUGGAUCAUCGCUUCAUCAAUCGAUCAUCCUACAGUAUCAAUUUACAAUACAUUAUCAUAUCAUCAUACAUUCAUCGAUAAUUCAAUUCUUAAACCAUAUUUCAUAUUUAUAUUUGCAUAUAUUUCAAAUAUAACUUCUAUCAG